UACGUAUGGUGCAAGCGUUAUCCGGAUUUACUGGGUGUAAAGGGAGCGUAGGCGGCGCGUUAAGUCUGAUGUGAAAACCCGAGGCUCAACCACGGGAGUGCAUUGGAAACUGGCGGGCUGGAGUGCCGGAGAGGUAAGCGGAAUUCCCAGUGUAGCGGUGAAAUGCGUAGAUAUUAGGAGGAACACCAGUGGCGAAGGGGGCUUACUGGACGGCAACUGACGCUGAGGCUCGAAAGCGUGGGGAGCAAACAGG
Molecule: ribosomal RNA, 253 nt
Filed under: uncultured bacterium
Lineage: Bacteria
Description: partial 16S ribosomal RNA
Rfam family: Bacterial small subunit ribosomal RNA
Source: RNAcentral